UUUGUUCAUUCGGUCCGACCACAAGCAACCGAAACCAAGUUCGGUCCAAGAUUGUUGAUACAAAAACCAUGUUCGAUCCGAAAUCCAACUUCAUGACAAGCGAAACCUUAGCCAAACCGAAUCACAGGUUCGCCUUCGGUCCUCCCCUCUUUCUUCCAAGUGCUACCAACCGAACUCAAGUUCGUUCCAGGUACAUUCCAAGGCCAUUGAUACAAAAGCGAAAUCAAGCAUCACGAUGCCAACAAGGAGUGAAACCUUUGCCAAGCCGAACCACAGGUUCGCUUUUUGUCUUCCCUUCAUUCGUUCCAAGGCAACAGAAGAACCCAAUCAUAGAUUCGGUUCAAUAUCGUCGAUUAUACCCCAAAGAGAAGCACAGUAAACGAUCGUUCACAGGUAAGGCUUUUGAUGAGAUUAAANNNNNNNNNNNNNNNNNNNNNNNNNNNNNNNNNNNNNNNNNNNNNNNNNNNNNNNNNNNNNNNNNNNNNNNNNNNNNNNNNNNNNNNNNNNNNNNNNNNNUUUUGACUUUUCGUUUAGACCAUUGUGCAUACCAAUUGAUCCCUGUUACGAUUUCAUCCUGAUAAACUCUCAAAUCUGAUUACAUUCGUUCUCAGUGAGUUCACUUGCACCAAAUAUUUUGCAGUACCAAUUUUGGCCUGCAAAAGCGAACAGACACACAAAGACCAUUUCAUCUCAUUUCGUUUGACGCCAUCCAACAUCACUAUUCUGAAUAUGUCUUUCAUUUUCAGUUCCUUUUCCGAUUCAUUCCAGCCAACAUCACAAUUUAGGAAAUCUAAUUUUGAGAUCGGAAAUUGGUUCUGAUUCCGAGACUUCAAUCCAAUUGCGAAAUAAUUCAUAGUUCUGAAUUGACUUUUUAUAUUCUAAGUUCCGAUUACAAUCCAAUUAAGAGACCCGUUCGGAUUUGAAAGACAAGAAAUUAUUCUUUAUGUGAGAACAUCAGUAAACAACGAGACCGUCUUUCCAAUUGCGAGACAAUCAUUGCAAGUCUGCUCUUUGUGCUGACAAAACGAUUACAAGACCAGAUUAAUGAUACCUUCUCAUCAUCUAUAUGCAAAUCAGCAAUCUUCAUUCAGAUUUACUUUUGCAAUUGCAAUCGAUCCUGAUGACUAUACACAACCACAUAUCUACCAGAAUUUGAUUCUUCAACACAUAUAUUGUUUUGUAUAUAUCGAGAUUACCAAAAUCAACAAAUAUGAACCACUUUGGAAUGAUAAUAGAAAAUCAAUAGAUAUCAAUUGCUCAUAUCAGCAAUUCAUAUUUAUGAUGAAAUCGACAAUCACAGUUGAAUGACAAGCCUGAAAAAAUCCACUAAUCGCUAAAUGAUUUUGAAGAAAAGAGAUUCGAUUGAAAAACAAAAAUCAAUUAAAUAAAGAAUCAAUUUGAACAAAGAUCGACAUCAUGAGAAUCGUGAUUCAUAAGGAGCUUGAAUCGAUUACCCAAAAAGUGAUUUAGGCUUCUAAUAUCGAUAAUUGUGAACGGGUGAAGAACGUCAACAGGAAGACUGAACAUGUGUGAUAGAUUAAGAUUAGACGAACAAUGAUAAAUUGAAUUUGGGCCAGAAAUAAACGGAUGAACAGUAAAGAACUGAAUCUUUGGACAAAAUCAUAAGAAAUUGAUCUACGAAGCAAUAUAUUGAUUUUGGACUAAACAAUCGAUCAGAUCUAACAGAAAUAAAAUACGAGAUGGAUUAAAAUAAUACCCAGAUGAACAGUGAUAGAAAACAUAAGUUUUCAUAUCGGUUGCUUGAACAGAAAUAUCAAUUCCAUACCGCCAAAACACCAAUAAUAUUCAAUAUAUGUGUAGAAAAUCACCAAACCAAGAACCGAUACUUCAAAAAUCAAUAGAUCUUCAAAGACCCGCUCUGAUACCACAUGUUGGGAAUAAAAUCUUAAUUCUGAUUUGAUGAACAAGAUGCGGAAAAUAAGAACAAACACAAAUAAAGAAGAUAUGUCGAAUGAUCACUCGAUUUAUUCAAAACAUGAGGAAUAAAUUACACUUUCAGCAUAGACUAAAGAAUCUAACACUACAUAAGAAACUUCACAAUGUGGCGGCUACAUUUUGCCUCACUCUUAACAUCAAUUACGAAUAAUACAUGACUAUUUAUAGGGAAAAGACAAGCCUUGGGCUUUUAACCUACACUUCAUCAAGGGGCCUACUGCCAUUAUCCUUGGAGUGCUUUGAAACCCUACAAGUGAGUGAGAUGGUAAACUUCGAGGACGAAGUUUAGUUUAAGUGGGGGAGAGUUGUAACACCCAAGAUUUUGAAAACCAAGAAAGUAAAAGAAACCCUAAAUUUAGGAGGGACUCGGCGAGUCCAAGGAGGAACUCGGCGAGUCCGAGCGGGAUCCGAGUCGAGGAUUAAGUGACCAACUCGGCAAGUCGGCCAAGGCGACUCGGCGAGUAGGGUCUAUGCAAGGAAAACCCUAAAUUCGGGGCUUGGAGCCUAUUUAAACGUCUCAUUCUUCUUACUAGGGCUCCUUUACUGCCUCUCCAACCAAGAAUACGAACCUUAAACANCUAUGCAAGGAAAACCCUAAAUUCGGGGCUUGGAGCCUAUUUAAAAUUCUCAUUCUUCUUACUAGGGCUCCUUUACUGCCUCUCCAACCAAGAAUACGAACCUUAAACAGCCAUUGUUGCUUAUUCAAGCUCUUUGCCAUUUUGUGGGUGAUUUGAAGGAAGAAGGAGGGAAGGAAUCAUUGAGGCUUCAAGGAACUGCAGCAAAUCCAAAGUUGAAGGACCUUUCAGAGCACUUAAAGGUAAUAAGUCGCUUCCUUCAUCCAGAUCUACUUUGGUUAUGAGUUUUGGGGCUUUUAAGCCAUGUCUAAGUUUAAUCUCGAGCUUGAGGUCCAGAUCUGAGGUUGCUACCUCAGAUCCAUGUUUGUUUUGGUUUAGAAUCCCGUAAAGUAUCAGCCAUUGGGUGGAUUUUUGGAGCCUUUGGUCUCAAACCCUAGUUCAUGGUGUAUUUUGCUUAGAUCUCCAUCUUCACACGUAAAGUUUGCAACUUUAUGUGGGGGAUAGGCUUGGGAAGAGUAGAUCUACGGUUUGGAGUCCCUGCAUGACUCAAAAGUCCCCUGCAUGUUGUGGAACCGAAUGGACUCGGCGANCGAUUGGCCUCGCCGAGUGUGAUGAACAACUCGUCGAGUCGGAUGAAGAUGGGCAUGAACCCGGCGAGUGGGAUGAAGAUUGCUUUGUGCUCGGCGAGUCUGUUCUUAGACUCGGCGAGACAGGUCGCGUAGCCCCAAACCCUUCGAGUUAAGACUCAAGUCAGCGAGUCGAGCAAGGACUCAGUGAGUUGGUCAGGACAGGAUUUAGGAAUCUGUAGACUCGGCGAGUUAGGGGCUGACUCGGCGAGUCAAGUCGCGAUUGGAAGGACUUGAGCAUAAGAACUCGGCGAGUCAGUGAGUGGACUCGGCAAGUAGGGUUGACCUGGAAGGUUGACUUUGACCAGGACUUUGACUUUGGCAAGGGUUGACUUGGUUGACCUUUGAAGGUCAAUUAGACUAAGUAAUGUGUUGGCAUUGAUAGCUCGGGGAGCUAGUGGAGCAGCAGUUCGGAGUCAGUGGUCGGGUAGCGGUCAAAGGGAUUAGCAGCAACAGUUCAGCAGUAUCAGGUGAGUUUCCCUUUGUAUGAAUGGGUCUACGGCCACAAUGCCGGCCCAUGUAGUUAUGAGUAGAAGACCCGGGGGUUAGCCCUAGGCACAGUAUGCUAGUAUGGUAUUCGGACGAGGUCCAAUGAUAGAGGGCGGGUGCCCAAGGAGUGGUUUAUGUGAUAGUUUAUACUUGUUGUCUGUGUGAUACAUGUACGUGCCUGGUAGGAAGGUGAGUGGGGGGCGAGGUCCCGUAUCUCACCAAUAGCAGAGUGUGGAUGGUGUUCCACAUCUCAGUAGCAGCAGUACAGGGGCGAGGCCCAAGCUAGGAAAAGAGUGAGGACGGGCGGGGCCCGUAUCUCACUAUCAGCAGGAGUAUGGACGAGGUUCCAUGACUCAUCAGUAGCAGGACACGGGCGGGGCCCGGAGAUAGGCGAGGCCUUGGAGCAAGAGUUGUUAGUAUAUGUUUAGCUUAUGUGUUGUUAUGUGAUAUAUGUAUGUGCUAGUAUAUGUUAGUGGGCGGGGCCCUGUGACAGGCAAGGCCUAAGUGAAACAGAUCUGUAUCCGAGCGGGGCUUGAAGCCAGGCGGGGCCUGGAGCCGCGGGGCCGUUGUAGCGGGCGAGGCCCGAAGUAGGGGGCGAGGCCUCAGAUAGCGGGCAUGGCCCAGUAUGUGCAGUAUGUGGUCAUGCAUGGUAUGUGGUAGGGUUGGGAACUCACUAAGUUUCGUGCUUANGUUUUCAGUUUUGUUUUCAGGUACUUCCGGUAGCGGAGGGAGGAGCUCGGGGUGAUCGCAUGGCACACACCAUAGAGUAGUCAGCCUGGGAAUGUUUACUCUGAUAAUAAACAUGUGUUUUGAAAACUUAUACUCAAAUUAUGUUUUGGAAUGAUGACUUUGUUUGAAGUAAUGUUUUAUUAAAAGAAAUUUUUGGUCUCGAAUUUUGGGUCGUUACAAGUUGGUAUCAGAGCCUUGGUUUGAGGGAUUCGAGCAUACUCUCGGGUGUGGCUGAACUCAAACUGAGGGGUUGGAUAAAAAGUUUUCAAAAGCGAAAAGACAGUUUUCUAAAAAGAAUUUUGAGAACAAAAAGCAGUUUUAGAAAAACAAAAAGAAUCCAGAAAAAGAAGAAUUUUGAAAAGAGAAAAAGGGGUGUGGUGCAUGCAAUCAACCGAGCUCAAGUAAGUACCCCAAAAUACCCAUACAAGUUUAUAUUAUGAUUAUCAGUUGGUAGAACAGCAUGCUAGAAUAGGACUAAGGAUCUAGGGAUGAUGCCUUAUGUGCCUGUUAUUUGUGCUUUUGAGCUGCAUAGUAGUGCUAAGUAGACAGUAGUAGGAUAGCCUGUUUAGGUUAUACCUGAGAUAUGAGUUUGUGUUUCAUGCUAGUUCAGAUUCUUGCUAUGUGGAUAUGAUUUCUUGAGUAUGUUAUGGUUAGAUUUUCCUUUGUUCGAAUGCUGCUUGCUUUGUGUAUUGUGGGAUUCUGAGUGAUGGGAGUUAGCCAUUAGGUGGAUACGACAAGUCACAUGCGAUCAGGGUUGAAUAAUCUCAGAGUGCUGGAUUUGGUCCUAUUACGCAGCUCUCGUCUGAGUCCAACCGUUGUAGCGACGAGUCUUUUACUUGAAGGAUUAUCUGAGCCUCGUUGCAUGUGAUGGUAUCCAGGUGAUGGCUAAUUGGCAUCAUAAGGAGACCUUCAGUAGGUUUGUGUUGAGUUAGAGGUUUCCCUAGGGUAAGCCUAGGAUGAGAUAGUGCUGGGAGCAGUAGUAGUGGUUAAGGGGUCUGGUGGAGUCAAAGCAAUUCCUGAGGAAAGUACGGAUAGAUAUGGAAGGUAGUAUGGGCCCGUACUACUGAAAGCAAAGGAUCCGUACUCGAUUCGGGAAGGGCCGAGACAAGACCAGGAACCUGGUAGGGUAUGUUUGGUCUCACAUCAGUGAUGAGUAUUCUAAUAGUGGUUGUGGUAUAUUUUCAGCAUGGUGACAUUGCGAGAGAGACCAGCGGGCGGGUCAGGCGCCGGAGAGGGAUCAGGCUCGGGUUUAGGGACCGAGCAGCUCGAGGAGCAGAUGAGAGAGUUGAUAUCAGCUGAGGUUACGCGCAGUAUUCUAGCUCAGACUCCUGUGAUCUUUGGCACGGUCAAGGAGGGUAUACUGGAGAUCUUGGAUGAGAGGCUGGGAGCCUUCCGUACUGAGAUGAUGGCAUUGAUGGGAGCGCGUACUCUGACAUUUCGAGAGUUCAGAGCCUGCGGGGCACCAGAUUAUCAUGGGGCUAGGGACCCCAUUGCUAGCAGCAGAUGGUUGGCUGAUGUUGCCAACGCUUUUCGUACGAGCAAGUGUCCCGAGGGGGACAAGGUUAGACUCGCCUCCUGUCUUCUGAAGGACAGAGCGAGGGAUUGGUGGGAGGAGAUUGGUCAUGCUUUGGGGGAUGAUGCCGCGUUGGACGCGAUGACUUGGAGCGAUUUCUCGGCCAGGUUCAGGGCGGAGUUUUCGCCGAUUAUUGAGGUGCAGCAGCUGGCACGAGAGUUUCAGGAUUUGACGCAGACUACUGAGACUGUGGCGGAGAUCACCGCCAAGUUCAGGGAGAGGGCUCUUCUUGUACCGCAGUAUGUAGCGGAUGAGGAGAUGAAGAAGGCUCGGUACCAUGAGAUGUUGAGGGACGACAUCAGGGAGUUCGUGAGCAGGUCCAGCUGUAAGACGCUGGAAGAUAUGAUUUCUCGGGCUAGGGAAAGGGAAAUUGAUUUGGAGCAGAUCCGGAAGAGGAAGCCGGAUGAGGUUCAGGUAUCAGCGGGUUCGNAUUGAUUUGGAGCAAAUCCGGAAGAGGAAGCCGGAUGAGGUUCAGGUAGCUGUGGGUUCGGGCAAAAGGCCCAAGGGAUCGGAUUCGAGAUCGAGGGAUCAUCAGGACCGCAAUCGGUGCGGAAAGUGUGGCAGGGCGCACGGGGGCGCGUGCAGGAGUGGUAGCCGUGGUGAGUCUGGUUGCUUCAAGUGCGGUCGGACUGGUCAUUUCAGCAGGGAUUGCACUGUUACUGCCGCGCAGGAAUCAGACUUGAUAUGUUUUCAUUGCAACCAGCGGGGCCACAAGAAGGCCCAGUGCCCCAGUUUGUCUUCGGCAGGACGGGUGAUGGCACCCGCCCUUGCAAAUUUGAGGAUCACAGAUGGCCGUCAGGGCCGGGUAGAGGCACAUGCAGCAGGGAGCAGGGCUUUUCAGAUGACGACCUUGGAGACGCUAGCGACGCCGGACGUUGCAGGGAUGCAAUUUCCAUUUCCAGUUCUUUUAUUUGUGCAUGAUUAUGUUGUUAUGAUUCUGCAUCAUCAUCGGUAUGAGUAUUUUAUUUAUGUGCGGUUGAUUAUGGUCGAGUUAUAUGCCAUCUGCAUACCUUGGAUAAUUGUAUGGUAGUUAGGGGAUGUGCUCUAUUGGAGAAGGUUACGUAGGAUGCAGUAGCUGUAGCAUGCUUGGGAGGGACUUAGUAUGUCUCGUUAGAUCAGGAUCGUGUAGUGUCAGAGAUGGAUUGGUUAGAUCCCUAGCUAUGGUAAGCUUGGGUUCCUCAGCAGAUUGAUUAUGGAAUGGUAGCAAGGAUUGGGUUUUCUCUUUGAGCAUUGAGCAACAAGGGGUAAGCAGGAUCGAAGUGGGGGAGAAUCCUCCGAGUAAGCCAGGGUAGGAGCACGCAGACCCAGAAGGAGUGCGCAACCUCCGAGGAGGAAAGGAAGUAGUUCAGCGUUCGAUGGAUUGAGGAUUUCAGGGUUGGGAGUUUGAGAAACUCCCCAUCAGCUAGAGCGUGUGUCGGUAAUGGUUAGUUCGUGGUUGGGAAUUCAGGUUGUUGAUCGCCCGUAUGACUCGAGGGAGUCAGAAUGAGGAUCUUGAGAGCUAAUGGCACAUGGGUGCCUUCGUAUUAGCAGUCAGUGGUGGAAGUGUUGUAAGACUACGGGGCAGCCGUAGCAUUCACUAGCAGUCAACAAUGGAUGGUGAUGUAAGGCUAUGGGUAAGUCGUAGCAUUCCCUAGUCGCUUCGUUAGCGGAGUUGGGGCGAGGCCCUUAUUUUCUCGUGAUCAGAUAGGGAUCGGGAUGGGUAGUCGUUGAGAAUGAUAGGGAGUUGCCUGUAUAGCCCUAGCAAGGUGAGACCUUGGGAGAGGCUGCUCCUGGAUAUAGUUGGGUGAGACCCGUGGGCGAGGCCCGUACGAGAUUAGCAGUGUAGAUAAGACCUGAGAGCAGGGUUGCUCAGUAGUAUGGUUGGGUGGUACCCGUGGGCGAGGCCCAUGGGUUUUUAGCAGCGCAGGUGGGACCUGGUAGGGACCUUAGUGUCAAGUUAGGGGAUCGGGGAUCCCAGGUUUGUAGUGCCUGAGUGGUGGAAUUGUUUGAGCAGUUAUAGGUAGUUGAGGUUUCUUUGGAAGUCGCUGAGAGCGACUUGUGUUGAUGUUGGGACCAGCUACCGGUGGGAGCCGGUAAUCCAGAUAUUGAUAGGUUGGUAGGGACCAGAGUGGUCUCAGUUCAACCGGAAGGCAGAUGAGGAAUGGCAGAAGUAUCCAGUCAGUAGUAGUGCGGGAAGGCGGGUUAUGUUGGAAUUCAGUUAGAUGAGUCGAGGGGUGCUCGACACCAAGUUAUGACAAGAGAGGAGUGUCAGUGGUUACUGGCGGUAAUGACCCGUACUGGAUUUAGCGGGAAUAAGGGAUUGGUGAAGAUAGGAUCUUCACAGUGGCUGAGGAGAUAGUUGUUUUUGGAGCAUCGCCUUGGGAAGGCAAGGGAAUGGCGUGAGGAAAGAAGGGGUGAACCCCUAUAGGUUCAGUGCAGUACUCGGUGAGUACCCGUCGGAUUAUCGGCUAAGUAAGUUGUGUUUCCAGAAUGUUCAGGGUCAGGGUUGACCCGAGAUGGUUAUUUGCAAGGGUUAAUGCUAGUCUGAAUGAUCAGGAGGAAGACCAUCGAAGGUAGGCAGCUGGUGUUGGAACAAUUCGUGGGGUAUUGGAGGCAGAUAGCAGGCGGUGAGAUGGUAAACUUCGAGGACGAAGUUUAGUUUAAGUGGGGGAGAGUUGUAACACCCAGGAUUUUGAAAGCCAAGAAAGUAAAGGAAACCCUAAAUUUAAGAGGGACUCGACGAGUCAAAGGAAGGACUCGGCGAGUCGGAGCGGGAUCCGGGUCGAUAAGAAAGUGACCAACUCGACGAGUCGGCCAAGUGGACUCGGCGAGUCUGGUCUGUGCGAGGAAAACCCUAAAUCCGGGGCUUGGAGCCUAUUUAAGCAUCUUAAUCUUCUUCCUAGGGCUCCUUUACAGCCUCUUGCACCCAGAACGCCGCACCUUAAGCCCCCAUUGUGUUCAUUCAAGCUUCUAGCCAUUUUUGAGUGGGUUUAAGGAAGAAGAAGGAGUGGGAAUCCUUGAAGCAUCAGGGAGUGGCUUUGGAUCUGAAGUUUGGGAAGCAUUUCAGAGCAUUGGAAGGUAUCAAUUCGUUUCUCUCCUCCAUAUUUUUCCUUGGUUAUGAGUUUUGGGGCUUUUAAGCCAUGUUUAAGACCAAUCUUGAGCUUGAGGUCCAGAUCUGAGGUUGCUACCUCAGAUCCAUGUUUAUUUUGGUUUGUAAUCCCAGAAAGUAUCAGCCAUUGGGUGGAAAUUGGAGUCUCUUGGUCCUAAACCCUAGCUAUGGGUGUAUUUUGCCUAGAUCUCCCUCUCUACACGUAAAGUUUGCAACUUUACGUGGGAAAUAGGCUUGGGGAGGGUAGAUCUACAGUUUGGAGCUCAUGCAUGACUCGGAAGUCCUCUGCAUGUAAGUGGAUCUUAGUGGACUCGACGAGUCCUUCGAGUGGACUCGGCGAGUAGCUUGAAGAUGAGGAGGAACUCGACGAGUGGGAUGAACAGCUCGUCGAGUCGGAUGAAGAUGGGCAUGAACUCGGCGAGUUGGAUGAACAACUCGUCGAGUUGGAUGAAGUUUGUCGUGUGCUCGGCGAGUCUGUUCUUAGACUCGGCGAGUCAGGUCGCGUAGUCCCAAACCCUUCGAGUUAAGACUCGAGUCAGCGAGUCGAGCAAGGACUCAGUGAGUUGGUCAGGACAGGAUUCAAGAAUCUGUAGACUCGACAAGUCAGGGGCUGACUCGGCGAGUCAAGUUGCGAUUGGAAGGACUUGAGCAUAAGAACUCGGCGAGUCAGUGAGUGGACUCGGCGAGUAGGGUUGACCUGGAAGGUUGACUUUGACCAGAGUUGACUUGGUUAACCUUUGGAGGUCAGUUAGACUAAGUGUUGGGUUGUUGUUGGUAGCUCGGGGAGCUAGCGGAGCAGCAGUUCGGAGUUAGCGGUCAGGUAGCGGUCAAAGGGGUUAGCAGCGGCAGUUCGGCAAUAUCAGGUGAGUUUCCCUUUGUAUGAAUGGGUCUACGGCCACAAUGCCGGCCCAUGUAGUUAUGAGUAGAAGACCCGGGGGUUAGCCCUAGGCACAGUAUGCUAGUAUGAUAUUUGGACGAGGUCCAAUGACAGAGGGCGGGUGCCCAAGGAGCGGUUUAUGUGAUAGUUUAUACUUGUUGUCUGUGUGAUACUUGUAUGUGCCUGGUAGGGAGGUGAGAGAGGGCGAGGUCCCGUAUCUCACCAAUAGCAGAGUGUGGAUGGUGUUCCACAUCUCAGUAGCAGCAGAGCAGGGGCGAGGCCCAAGUUAGGAAAGGAGUGAGGGUGGGCUGGGCCCGAACCUCACUAUCAGCAGGAGUAUGGACGAGGUUCCAUGACUCAUCAGUAGCAGGACACGGGCGGGGCCCGGAGAUAGGCGAGGCCUUAGAGCAAGAGUUGUUAGUAUAUGUUUAGCUUAUGUGUUGUUAUGUGAUAUAUGUAUGUGCUAGUAUAUAUUAGUGGGCAGGGCCCUGUGACAGGCGAGGCCUAAGUGAAACAGAUCUGUAUCCGAGCGGGGCUCGAAGCCAGACGGGGCCUGGAGUGGCGGGGCCGUUGUAGCGGGCGAGGCCCGAAGUAGGGGGCGAGGCCUUGGAUAGCGGGCGUGGCCCAAUAUGUGCAGUAUGUGGUUAUGCAUGGUAUGUGGUAGGGUGGGGAACUCACUAAGCUUCGUGCUUACAGUUUUCAGUUUUGUUUUCAGGUACUUCCGGUAGCGGAGGGAGGAGCUCGGGGUGAUCGCAUGGCACCCACCAUAGAGUAGUCAACCUGGGAAUGUUUACUCUGAUAAUAAACAUGUGUUUUGAAAACUUAUACUCAAAUUAUGUUUUGGAAUGAUGACUUUGUUUAAAGUAAUGUUUUAUUAAAAGAAAUUUUUGGUCUCGAAUUUUGGGUCGUUACACUGGGCAUACACGUCGUACAAAAGGAGUACGUGGAAAGCAUGCAAACCCUAAUUUUUAGGGUUUUGGCUCAUAUUUAAGCCUCCUUAAGGCCUUACAUUUCAUUCUUACCCAACCUCCUUCUUUGACAUCGAGCCCCAAGAAAUCCUAAGAGCAAAAGAGAAAUUUUGGAGCCUUUAAGAGAGUUUAGAAGUGGUUUUGAAGAAAGAAGAAUGUGGUGAGAAGAUCUUGGAGUUGAGAGCACCUUGGAUCUAUGAUUUCUUCCUUGUUUACAACCUUUAGAAGUUAUAAAGCUUGCAACUUUACCACCCAUCUUGUAGAUCUAGGAUUUUGCUUUUUAAGUCACUUUUUGGUCCCAAAAUGGUAAUUUGAAUGGUAUUUGAGAAAUUGGUCUUUUGGAUGAAUAUGUGUCGGUUAGAGCGGAGAUUAGGAGUCGGGACCUCAUCAGCUAUUGUUCAGACUAUGAGAUGAGUUUUUCUCACUGUAGAUAUGGGUCGAAGGCACCAAGACUGACCCAUUGGAUUGAUAUACUGUUAUACAUUGAUAUGUUGAGUAUGGAAUAGAUCUGCAUGAUUACAUGCUAGUUGUCAAUAUGCUAAGUUUGGUAGAUCUUUAGGACUACCUGUGAUUCUAUCUACACGAUUAUCUGUAUGUUAAAUACGUUUGUUAUCUGUUAUAUAUCGACAUAUUGUGGUGGGUUGAGGUUAUAUUGUUGUGUGGUGUAGCCAACAAACUUGAGAGCAAUCUAGAUAUGAGCCGAGAGACAGUUGGCAUGUCAUACUCAUACUGAGGGCUCGGGAGCAUUCUAGAUACGAGCUGAGGGUCGGUUGGCAUGCCAGACUCGUAUUGAGGGCUUGAGGGUAUUACAACCCGCUGACUGAGUGGACCCAAUGUAUAUUGGCAUUCCAACCUAGGGUAUUCCAUCAUGAGGAUGACUAGACCCGGAGGUUGAUUGGGCCUGGGGUAGUCCAACCCGAUGGUUGAUUGGACCUGACAUGUUAUUGUAUAUGUUAUAUGUUUAUGUGUUGGUACUAUAGGGGGAACUCAAUAAGCUUUGGCUUAUGGUUUUUAGUUAUUGUUUCAGGUACUUCUGAUCAAUGCGGGAGAAGGCAUGACCG
Molecule: long non-coding RNA, 11942 nt
Filed under: Lactuca sativa (garden lettuce)
Lineage: Eukaryota; Viridiplantae; Streptophyta; Magnoliopsida; Asterales; Asteraceae
Description: long non-coding RNA (LSAT_LNC007919)
Source: RNAcentral